CUACGGGAUGCUGCAGUGGGGAAUAUUGCGCAAUGGGCGAAAGCCUGACGCAGCAACGCCGCGUGAGUGAUGAAGGCCUUCGGGUCGUAAAGCUCUGUCGGGAGGGAAGAACACCUUCGGGUCUGACGGUACCUCCCGAGGAAGCACAGGCUAACUCCGUGCCAGCAGCCGCGGUAAUACGGAGUGUGCAAGCGUUGUUCGGAAUUACUGGGCGUAAAGCGCGCGUAGGCGGCUUGAUAAGUCAGAUGUGAAAUCCCUCGGCUUAACCGAGGAACUGCAUUUGAAACUGUCAGGCUUGAGUACGGGAGGGGGAAGCGGAAUUCCCAGUGUAGAGGUGAAAUUCGUAGAUAUUGGGAGGAACACCAGCGGCGAAGGCGGCUCCCUGGACCGAUACUGACGCUGAGGCGCGAAAGCGUGGGGAGCAAACAGGAUUAGAUACCCUGGUAGUC
RNAcentral lists this ribosomal RNA (449 nucleotides) under uncultured bacterium. Its description in RNAcentral is "partial 16S ribosomal RNA". It matches the Rfam family "Bacterial small subunit ribosomal RNA", at positions 339 to 795 of the family's 1533-position model. The record is from RNAcentral.